Hordeum vulgare subsp. vulgare (domesticated barley) is the source of this 731-nucleotide long non-coding RNA. RefSeq lists it as uncharacterized. The transcript has 2 exons. The record is from RefSeq and is a predicted model, not a curated record. NCBI's taxonomy places the organism in Eukaryota, Viridiplantae, Streptophyta, Magnoliopsida, Poales, Poaceae.
GGCCCCCCUCCCGUGAGCCCACGCUCCUCAUCCUUCUCUUUCAUAUCUUCUCUCCUCCACCCGUCUUCUCCAGGCUUCCUCUCCCUCGCCUCGCUCACCACCAGGGGGGCUCACGCUGCUCCCCAUGGCCGUCGGCCGCUGCACCAGCUCGCUCCGCUUCGCCCUCGGUCAGCCCUCGCUCGUAGCUGCCACUUCGUGUCUCUUCCCCUCUGCUUCCUCUCCCUCUCCUCCAACCUUGCAGUCAUUCAUCCCCUUUCAAGUUUUCUGCAACGCGGUUGUUGUUUCCGCAACGUGGUUGUUGUUGCGGGAGUUGGAGCAAUCGUUUCUGCAACCCGUUCGUUGUUUCAGGAAUUGUUUCUGCGACCGGUUAGUUGUUUCAGGAAUUGUUCUGCAACACAGGCGCUGUUGCACAAAGACGAAGGUACUUUACAGGGCAUCGGCGUUGAUUCAUACAUGGCCGUGACUCACUCCUGCGGAAACCGGGAGCCUUUAGUUACUGGGUCUAUCCGGUAGGAGAUGGUAGCUCGGGAUAUCUACAACAGGUUUGGAUGGCGGUCCGGUAAUAGGAUAGAUGGUCAUGCAUCUAUGCCUAUGUUAGCCGGUUGUGGCAUCCUUUGGUUUUAUUUUGGAUUAUUUUGUUGCUCCUUUAGAGCUUGUUCCGAACCACAGACUAUUUAAUUUCUUUCUUUAAUAAAGUGGUUGCAUGUAUCGUAUUCAUGCAAAGGCCGGAA